GUUUUGUCCAUUCUUCAAUUAAUGCUUUCAAAAGAAUCGACUCAAAAGAAUCGAUCACUCGGGAAUGCUCGUAAAAAGAGACGACAACCUUGAAAUAAACAACGCGUUUUAAAAAGCAUAUUUUAAAAUGAAGGAACGAAGGAACGUCACGCAAUAGCAGUCAAAUGGAACUCGAGGUUCUCCUAAAAGACGACAUUUUUGUAGAUUUCUUCAGGUGUUUGGACAAACCCCUCUGUUCCUGCCUUCAGAGAACAAGUGGCUAAUGUGUCCAAAUCCACAUCUUCCUUAGUGGACACCCUGCAGUGAAACGCUGAUGUCAUCAACAGUGUGUGGCAGAUGGACGUGGUCACUCCAGAGGUCAUUUUCACUGUCCAGCAUCUGGUGGCCAAGUCCCUGGAAGUCACGUGGUUCAGGCGUUUGGCUGAUGCAGGUGAUAAAAUGGCAUCAAAGGGAAUGUACAGUGAGACCGAAUGCCAUGAUUUGCCAGAAGUCGAUCAUCAACAUUUUUCUGCACUGCAACACGUCACCAAAGCUCAGGAACAGGUUGAUCGCACGCUGUUCUAUCCAGCUGAUGGACGUAUUCCCUGUUAUCAUCUACUGCUGGAAAAAGUUUCGCUUGCUAAAGACAAUCAUGAAUAUGUCUGGAGUUAUAACUCUGAAGGAUCAUCUUAAAAUCUAUGCCUGAGGAAGAGUGUCCUGCAAACAUCCAGUCCCAGAACAUCAAGACUGUCAAAUCAGAUGAAGAAAAACUCCAUUCUUGUUGCACUUCACACACUACGGAAGAGCCCAGAAGCUCCUGCAGUCUGAAUGAAGCUUCAUCUAUGGACUCUUCUAGUCCUGAGAAAUGACCCACGGCGUAGACGAGAGUGUGCCGCACCAACCGAUCCACUGCACCGCUGCGUCCCUGUCAGCCCGCAUUCACUCAAGCCACCCACCCAGCACAAUAAUGUGCAGGCAAACAAACGCACAAGCCACUUCGACUGUAAGUGUGUGUUUGUGUGAUAGACAGUGUGACUGUGACGUGU
Long non-coding RNA from Triplophysa rosa, 1025 nucleotides. RefSeq lists it as uncharacterized. NCBI's taxonomy places the organism in Eukaryota, Metazoa, Chordata, Actinopteri, Cypriniformes, Nemacheilidae. The record is from RefSeq and is a predicted model, not a curated record. The transcript is spliced from 8 exons.